GAUGAAGAACGUAGCGAAAUGCGAUAAGUAAUGUGAAUUGCAGAAUUCCGUGAAUAAUCGAAUCUUUGAACGCACAUUGCGCCCCCUGGUAUUCCGGGGGGCAUGCCUGUCCGAGCGUCAUUGCAACCUUCAAGCGCGGCUUGUGUGUUGGGUCUCGUCCCCCGUGGACGGGCCCGAAAGGCAGUGGCGGCGUCCCGACAUGGUGCCCGAGCGUAUGGGAAUCCUCUUCCGCUCGAAUCGGCCCAUGCGGCGCUGGUCGUAACCAAAUUUUUUACCGGUUGACCUCGGAUCAGGUAGGGAUACCCGCUGAACUUAAGCAUAUCAAUAAGCGGAGGA
Molecule: unclassified non-coding RNA, 336 nt
Filed under: soil metagenome
Description: partial contains 5.8S ribosomal RNA, internal transcribed spacer 2, and large subunit ribosomal RNA
Rfam family: 5.8S ribosomal RNA (bases 1-120)
Source: RNAcentral